RNAcentral lists this long non-coding RNA (1391 nucleotides) under Marmota monax (woodchuck). Lineage: Eukaryota; Metazoa; Chordata; Mammalia; Rodentia; Sciuridae. The record is from RNAcentral.
GUCUUCUGGAAGAAAUGGAAGACCUUUGAUGUAAAAGAUUUUGGAGUUGGGGAAGAUUAGGUUAUUCAGAAAACAUGUUCCACUAGGAAUAACAAAAAAGACUGGAUAAAAUAUAAAGAGCAUUUUCUAAAAUAAGAUAAGGGCCAACUGAAAGGAACGUUGGUGAGAAGUGACUUUUGCUCUAGGGCAUCUGCCAAUUCUAGCAAGAGCCGUUAGAUGGGGGUCCAGCAACCCAUGCAAGUUGAGAAAGCAGUUAUCUCAAAAGGAUUGCACCCUCAGAGCAAGUGCAUCCAGAAGCAAACUAGCUUUUAUGUGGCUUGACAGUCAAGGUAAAUGUCCAGACAAUAUUAAACCUUGAACUUGAUGUAAGGUGGGACUACAUCAGUGAUAACCCAAGUGCUCAACAGAAACAAACAUAAAUAUUCUCUGGAGAAACUUACCUUCUCCAAAAAUCACAGAUUAUUCCAAAAAUAUUUAUCACAUUGUUGAAGAUAAUUAGGCACAUAAAGAAACAAGGAACCAUGAACAAGAACCAGCACAAAGAUGGCAGGAGCAACCCUAUAAAAACUUCAGAAACUGGAAAUAUCAGACCUUUUAUACAUAACAUUAUACUUACUAUGUUUAAAGAAAUAUAAGGCAAGCCUGAAAAAAGUAUGGCACAAAUAGCAAACUAAAAAGCAGCUUAGCAAACUGGGCAUAGUGGGUCAUGCCUGUAAUCCCAGUGACUCAGGAGGCUGAGGCAGGAGGACUGUGAUUUCAAGGCCAGCCUCAGCAACUUAGUGAGGCCCUAUGCCUCUUAGGGAGCCAGUCUCACAAUAAAAAAUAAAAAGAGGCUUGAAAUGUAUCUCAGGGGUAAAGCACCCCUGAGUUAAAAAAAAAAAAAGAGAAGAAAAGGCAGCUUGACAGAUUUUCAGUUUGAAAAAAAAAGUGAGUAUAGGUUCAAAAAAUGAAAAACACAUAAGUUAAAAUUCAACAGAUGAAUUUAACAAUAUUUUAGGUAGCAUUAAAAAGAAGAUUAAACAUUGGGUCGGAAGAGGUUACCUAGAGUGUAAUACAGAGGGUUGAAAGUAUAUCCAAAAGACAUAUGAAAGAGAGUUGGAGAAUAAAAGUUAGAGAGUAGAAAAGACUAAAGCAAAUUUCAAUAGAGUUCCAGAAGGAGAGUAGUGAGAGAAUGGAGCAGAGCAUGAUGUUGAGGGAUUAGCUGAGGUUUUUUGGAACUGAUAAAAAAAUUACAAUGUCUACGAAUGCCAGGAGAAAUAAAGGAGAAGCCUACCAGAAACAUCAUGCAUCAGAGCACCAAAGACAAAGAGAGAACAUUUUAAAGCAGCAGGAGAAAAAGACAGGUUAUUUUCAAAGAGCCUCAUUUUCUUCAUGUAUUAAAUGAAAAUAAC